RNAcentral lists this long non-coding RNA (370 nucleotides) under Fukomys damarensis (Damara mole-rat). RNAcentral's name for it is "lncRNA (ENSFDAG00000029141.1)". Lineage: Eukaryota; Metazoa; Chordata; Mammalia; Rodentia; Bathyergidae. The record is from RNAcentral.
GCCAUAAUUUGUAUGUCUCACUGCUAGGCAGCUCUGGACCACCGUGGCACACACAUGACUGCCCCUGGACACGUGUGCAUGUGCCACUGGUGGUUCAAGCCGAAGGCACCUGUUCACCCUGCAUCUUCAUCCACAGUGAGAGCUGACAUGGGGAUUACGGGGGUGAUUAGGGCCAGGCAGGAAGGUCACUGAGUCUGUGCUCACAGCUCAAAGCCCACCCUCAGGCCACUCAGGAUCUUCCUUAGAGCAAGUCCCUGGGAGCUAGAAGGGCACCUGGAGAUUCACCACCUAGCAAGAUGCCCUUCCCUCACGGAAGGGGAAACUGAGACCCAGAGAAACUCAAAUGAAGCCAACCCUGUCCAUGUGAAAU